Mirounga angustirostris (Northern elephant seal) is the source of this 6466-nucleotide long non-coding RNA. RefSeq lists it as uncharacterized. Lineage: Eukaryota; Metazoa; Chordata; Mammalia; Carnivora; Phocidae. The transcript has 3 exons. The record is from RefSeq and is a predicted model, not a curated record.
AUCCCGGGACUCGAUCCCGGGACUCCAGGAUCAUGACCUGAGCCGAAGGCAGUCACUUAACCAACUGAGCCACCCAGGCGCCCCGCCCCCCUCCUCUGUCUUUCAUAGCCUUCUUGGGGCCCGUGCCUCUGUUCUGCUGGGACAGGUAGGAGGAUUCCCCUUCAUAGCCCUGGAAGGAGGUAUUGGUGGUGAGGGGCAGGGACUGGAGUGGGGAAGGCAUGAGGGCCAAGUGAGACUGAGUUUUUUUUUUUAGUGUUUCAUUGGUGUUUUUUCAAACAAAUCGAGGUGAAACUCACAAAACACAAUUAAACAUUUUAAAGGGUACAAUUCACUGGUAUUUAGUGCUUUCACAGUAUUCUGCAAUCACCACCUUGCUCUGCUUUCAAAACCUUCUCAUUGCCCUAGGAGGACACCAUGCCUGUUAAGUACCCACUCCCCACUCCCCCUCCACCCCCAGCAACCACUGCUCUGCUUUCCUUCUCUGCCGAUUUGCCCAUUCCAGUCUUUUCAUAGAAAAGGAAUCAUACAAUAUAUGACCUUUUGUGUCAGGCUUGUUUUCCUUAACAUAAUGUUUUUGAGGUUUAUCCAAUUUGUAGCAUGAAUCAGUACUUAAUUCCUUUUUGUGGCUGAAUAUAUUCCAUUGUAUGAGUACACCACAGUCUGUUUAUCCAUUCAUUCUUUGAUGGACAUUUGGGUUGUCUCCCAUCUUUUGGCUGUUGGGGAAAAUGCUGUUAUGAACCAUUGUGAGCAAAUUUCUGCUUGAGGACUUGUUUUCAGUUCUUUUGAGCACAUACCUACAAGAGACACUGCUGGGUCAUAGGGCAAUUCUAUGCUUGACUUUUGAGAAACUACCAGACUGUUUUUCACAGCAGCUGCACCUCCUUUUAGUUUUUAAGAUCAUGUUAUUCUAAGUGUAAAGAUAAUAAACCUGUAAAAUUUUAUACCAUAUUAUUUUUACAUAAAAUAAUACACUAUAAAAUUUUGGAAAUUAUUGAGCAGUUUUUAAAAGUUUUAAAGUAAUUAAGAAUUAUAAAAUCGUAUAUAAAUACAUGCUUAUUGUAAUAAUUCAAAUCAAGACGUUUCUAGCAGAAAAAUUCCCCUUUAUCUGUUCCUCCACCUCUGUCCUAUCCCUUUGCCUGACCAGUGUUAACCCUUUGGUCUGUAUCUUUCCAAACAUUUUCCAGGCAUUUGAACAGUUUUUGAAAAAAAAUUUUUUUUUAUGCAAACAUAUUAUACUAUCCAUAUUAUCUUGAUUUGAAAUCUUUCUAUUCGUUUCUUGUGAAUGUUGAUUAUUCUAGUGACUGUCAUAGAGCAGCCUUGGACAAAGCUGUCCUUUGGUGGCUGGAUAGGGAAUGUAUUUGUAAUUUUCUUUUUGUUAUCUGCAUUUACAAAUUUAAAAAAGGAACAUGAAUUUCUUUUAUAAUAAGAAAAGUCAGGAAGAAUUGGAGGCUUGGAGGCCCCGCGCACAGCUCGUACCUUAAUUUAGCACUUACUUCACUCCUGGUUGUAUAAUAAGCUGUUUACCGUUUGCCUCCCUUGAGGGCAGAUACGGCUUAUUCAUCUGCUGUCCUCCCUACUCCUGUGGAGUGUGCCAGGCAUACUGGAGCUCCGGCGAACAGGCGAGCAGCCCCUCCAGGGCUGCGGCUGAGGCUGCAGAGGAGAGGUUCUCAGUGGCCCUUUCCAGAGGACAUCAUCUGCCCCAGUUUACAGACGAUGAAGCAAGGCCCAGGCUAAACAGAGGGCUCCCUCUGCAUCGUGUACCUCCUCUUCUGUUGUAAGCAUCGUUCUCCAAAAGCAUGAUGGCACCUGUCAGCCUGAGGGCCCGCGCCUAUCUGUCCCAGGAAAUCUCGCUUGGCCUAGAAGAAAUGUUGCUGUGGGAAGGUCUCCAGGCAAGUCAUCUCCAUUAAUCUUUUCCUGUUUUCCUCUUGAAAGACGAGACUCGGAAUAGUCAGGUAACAUCUAGAGAAAGCCUCCUGUACUUGGAAGGAUCCUAUCAGGGGAGGGAUAAUUAUUUUACUGACCAGAGAACCAAGGUUCAGAAAUAUUGCGACUUGCUGAUGGUCACAUAGUAAAUUGAGCCAGAGGCUGAAAUCCAUGUCAUCUGACUCCAGGGACACUUUUCUACCACACACUUCCUCAUAGUCCCCAUAAUGUGCUCUGAGAUCACACCAUUAAAGACUUUCCAGACCACAAUUUCCCCCUCAAGCAUUCAUGCAACCAGUUUCCUUCCAGACCCAAGGGUUGAGAAUCUUUCUGUCUCCCCUUCUUUUUCAUUUCCCUGAGAUUUGCUAGCUCUUUCCCCGUCUCCUCUGCAGUCUACAGGAGUUCAUUUCUCUCUCCUCUUUUUCCAGAUAUCAUAAUUUCCAAAUCUUUCAGUUGGUUUCUUUUUCUGACUAUGGUCCUUUUUUUGGAGACUUUCCAACAUAGCCGCCGAUUGGAGGAUGAUAACAAUGAAUUAGUUAGUAGAUCUUCUUUGAUGUUAUUUUGUGGGUGAACUCAUUAAUUUAUGACAAAAACAUCAAAGAGCUUGGCUCCUGCAUUGGACUGGCUUGUCCUACGGCAGCUGGAUAAUAAUGAUUAGUUGGAUUGAAUCUCAACGUCUUCUUCUGCUUCAAGAAUUAAAGUCCAAAUGAUUGGGGUGUGGGAACAUCCCAUCCUGUAGCAUCCCACUGGCUUUGAGCCAGUACAGAAUGAAACUCCCCACUCCAAAUGUGGAUCUCUCUCUCCAUGGUCUCCACUUUGAUGCCUCUAAGCCUUGAGGUCUGUCAUGAUUAGUAGCAACUAUGGAGGCAGUGUGGGGAUAAAAGCCUGAGGCUGUUAAAGUCUCUUUCCAGUCAGGGGAGCUGGAUAUUAAAAGGGAUCACUCAUCCUUGCAUGGACUAGCUCAAGGUUCUCCACAGAGUCCCAGUCCUGUAAUUUUGUGGGAAGGAGAACUCUCUCCGGGCCACGCAAGAAAAGUGCCAGCACCGUGUUUAGCAUAUAGCAAGCUUUCCAUAUGUAAUGGUUGACUGGACUUUUCAAGAAAGGUCUUGGUGCAUGAAGUCUCUGGCUAGUUGAAGAGGACUAAGAAGUAGAGCUCAGGUCUUUGCUUAUACAACAACACCUCCGAACCUACUCACAUCGAUGGCCGUUUACUUUGCUUCUUCCACUUUAUUCAUGGUGGAAAAUUGUCUGUGCUCCUCUCUAAAGCCAUCGCCUCCAUGUUGGCCCUGGAUCCCAUCCUUUGCUGACCUCUUAAGGGCUUGUUUCUGCAAUCAACCCUCUCCUUCCUGAGGCAUUGGUGUUUCCCUCUUUACUAGAUUAUUUCUAUCAGCAAAUAAGCUCUAAUGUUUCCCAUCUGAAAAGAGCCUCCCUUGUUCCCAUUUUUCCUUCAGGCCACUGUACUACUCUUCACUCCCUUUGACAGCAAAAUGCCUCACAAGACUUGUCUCCACUCUUAGUAUCCCUCCUUCCUCUCCUCCAGUCAAACUCUGAAACCCACUUUAAUCAGGAUCUCAUCCCUGUUCUCCACUGAAACAGCUUUUAUCAAGCUCAUCAGUGAUCUUCUAGCUGCCAAGUCCCAUGGUCAUUUCUCAGUCCUCAUCUUAUUCUGCACACAAGCAGCUCUCAGCACAGCUGGUAAGACUCUGUUACUAGGUUUCUUGCUUGGCUCCGGGACACCACUCUCUCGUGGGUCUCCUCCUACCUCACUGGUCACUCUUCUCACUCGCCUUUCAUCUUCCCACCCUGGAAGUAACAAAGUGCCCAGGAUCAGUUCUUGGACCAUUUUUCUAGCUAUACCCACUCCCUAGAUGUUCUCAUCUGGUUCCAUGGUUUUAAAUACUGUUCACAUACUGGUGGCUCUUGAUGUUAUAUCUCCAACCCUCUACCUCUCUCCUGAAACUCAAAUGCCUAUUCCUCUUAGAUGUAUAAUAUGCCUAUCAAAUUUCAAACCUAAAUCAACUGGCCUACUCAGGCCUUAGGCUUCCCUUCUCAGUAAAUGGCAACUCCUUUCUUCCAGUAGCUCAGACUUCAAAACUUGGAAUCAUCUUUAACUCACUUUCAUACCACACCCCUAGUCUAUCAACAGUUCUUGCCAGCUCUACCUUCAAGUUAUAUCUAGGGUCUGGCCAUUUCUUACCACCUCCGCUGCUACUACCCUCGUCUAAGCCACCACCAUAUCUUGCCCAGACUACUUUAACAGCCUCAUAACUGGUAUCACUGCUUCUAUCCUUGCCUUCCUGCCCCUCCCAACCCAGCACUAGCAUCCAGGUAGCCUUUAAAAAACUGCAAUUAGAUAAUGCCAUGCCUCUACUCUAAACUUUCUAAGGCUUUUGAUCCCACUCUCUGAAUAGAAUCCAAAGUCCUUAUCAGGGCCUACAAGUCCUAUAUGACCUGGCUCCUCCUACCUCUCUGAUCUCAGCUCCCAUCUCUCUUCCUCUUGCCCACUCCAGUCUAGCUACAUGGGUCCCCCUACUAUUUUUUGUACCUGCCAAGCCCACUCCUGCCGCCUGCCCUUGUACUGUCCUCUAAGCUAGUCACUCUUCCUUUAGGUACCUACGUGUUCUUUCACUUACCUCAGGCCUCUGCCCAAAUUUCACCUUAUCAAAAACACUUAUGCUGACUAUCCUUUCUAAAAUAACCCUCCUCUGUCACCUCUCUUUACCAUGCUUUACUUUUCUUCCUAGCAAUGAUCACAACUCAACAUAUUUUAUACUGACUUGUUUAUCUGCCAUUGAUUGUUAUCCUCAUUAAUACGUAAAUUCAAUAAGAACAGAGUCUUUGUGCAUGUGGUCAUUGCUAUAGCCCAAGCUCUGAGAAUAGUGUCUGAUACAUAGUAAAUGUUCAACAAAUAUACGUUGAAUGAAUAGAUUUGUUGAAUGGACUCAUCUAGGUCUCUUGUUAUCAGAUAAAGAGAGUGUUUUCCAGAUAGUUGUUUAAUUAAUAUGACCAAAAUCAAGUGUGAGAAACUGGGAGAGAUAUCCAUGGAGAUCAUCAGAUUAUGCAGCUAUUUAAUACUAGUGACCACCAUGGGAUUCACAGAGAUUUUCAGUUUGCCCCUUGAUGCCAAAUCAUUGGCCAAACUCUAAGGUGGGAUGAAACAUCUGCCUUUAACUUCUUUGGCAUGUCAUUUAUCCUCUGGGACUCAGUGUGUUCUUCCGUGAAAUUGGCAGUUGAAGAUAUGAUUACUGCUCUGCUGGUUUAAGGUCUACAAGAUGCUGAAAGGAGUCAGUACGGUUAGGAGGAUCAACCACACAAGCUCUGGAAAUUGACUGCCUGUAUUUGAAUCCUGCUUCCAUUCCUCAUGAGCCACAUGACCUUGGACAACUUUCUCAGUUUUCUUAUUUGUAAAGUGGGAAUAAUAAAAGGAUAAUAAUCACAUUUAAUUCAAAGAGUAAUUGUGAGAAUUACAUGAGACAAUACAUGUAAGGUACGUAGCAUAUGGUUUGGCACAUAGUAAGCGCUCAGUGAGUGUUAUUAAAAAUGAAAAGUUCUGAGAGAUCAUUGCGAUUCAUGUAUUUUAGGAGCAGUAAACUACCCAAGAAUAUUAGAAGAUAUGAAACCUGUAAAGGUCUGAUAAUGUGGUUAGGUAGAAUGCCCUUAUUCUUAGGAGAGGCAUGGUGAAGAACUGAAGGGUAAAGCUUCUUAGUAUCUGUCACUUAUUUUCUAAUAAUCUAGCCAAACAUAUCUCUGUUUCUAUAUCUAUCAAGAAAAUGUGGCAAAAUGUUAACAACUGUUGAAGCUAGUUGGAUAGUAUGGUUAUUGUACUAUUCUUUCAACCUUUCUGUAUGUUUGAAAAUUCAAAAUAAAAGGUUGAAAAAAAGAAAAAAAGAAAGGACCCUAGAAAUAGUCUAGUGAAGUCCAACCAUCAUUUUUUGGAAAGAAGCUCAGAGGUGAAGCUUUUGACCAAGGUCGUAUGCAGGAGGAGCUUGAGCCAGACUCCAGGUCUCCUGGCUGACCAUCUCUCCCUUUGUGGGGGCAGCUGCUGUUGCCCCUCAGGCAGCAGUGAGCUGCAGAGGAACAGACUCAGCUUCCCCCAAAAGACCAAGGGGUGUUAGGGAUGUGUAAAAAGGCACGUGUGUUGGUGUUUCCUUUUUGUUUAUUAAGCAAAUAGGUAGGUCAUUUGGUUGGAAGGUAUGAUGUCAAAAAUUGUGAAGGCAGCACCAAGGCCAGACCUGACAUCCUGGGUAAACCAGUUUGGCACCAUCUGUUUGUGUUUUUUGAGUGGUGGUGGUGGUGGAUUUGUAAACGCUGGAAUUUCAGGGGAGAGAGGGAAGAGUAGGGGUAGGGGCCAGGGUCAGGAAGAGCAGUGGAGAGACUGGCUUAAAUUCUGGAUCUCCCUGAAAGAAGGGACCCCCAGGGUUUCUCUGGGGAUGAAAUGCAGGCACAUAUUUAAAGAAAGGAAAUGAUUCUCUGCGGUCUGCAGCAUUCUCCUCUAGCUGACAGGGUUCAAAGCAGUGAAAAGAAGAGAUGAGGAGAGGAGGGA